Molecule: ribosomal RNA, 253 nt
Filed under: uncultured bacterium
Lineage: Bacteria
Description: partial 16S ribosomal RNA
Rfam family: Bacterial small subunit ribosomal RNA
Source: RNAcentral
UACAGAGGUCCCAAGCGUUGUUCGGAUUCAUUGGGCGUAAAGGGUGUGUAGGUGGCGCUGUAAGUCGGGUGUGAAAUUUCGGAGCUUAACUCCGAAACUGCAUUCGAUACUGCCGUGCUUGAGGACUGGAGAGGAGACUGGAAUUUACGGUGUAGCGGUGAAAUGCGUAGAUAUCGUAAGGAAGACCAGUGGCGAAGGCGGGUCUCUGGACAGUUCCUGACGCUGAGGCACGAAGGCCAGGGGAGCAAACGGG